AACUCAGUCCAGUUCUAACCCUGGUUUGACCUGAACACACCUGCACUGGUGUACAGGACUGACGUCUGCCCCCCCCAUUCUGCUGGACGGCUGCCAGUCACGGGUCACAUGACCUGGAAGAAAAAACCUACGAGCCUUCUGGGAUCCGUCAGCGCAUGGGCCGCCUGUCAACCUGAAGGGACAU
Molecule: long non-coding RNA, 184 nt
Organism: Sphaeramia orbicularis (orbiculate cardinalfish)
Lineage: Eukaryota; Metazoa; Chordata; Actinopteri; Kurtiformes; Apogonidae
Exons: 3
Source: RefSeq, a predicted model, not a curated record